GGAGGAGAGGUGAACCUUGAGUGUGUAAUCCAGGCGGGUUAUGGUGACUUCCAGGUAGGUACAUCCAUCAGUGGUUCAGCGAUUCCAAGUAUCCUGAAGAUGAAACAAACUUGAGUCCAAACACCAAAAUCCAAGCACAAAAAACCAGAAAAAUCCAAAACUGCGACCACACGAAUGUCUGAGAAUAGACAAAGCAAAACCUAGAACUGAGUGGCAAGAUUCUACCGUGAGUAGUUAAUCAUCCAGCGAUGUGAAGUGGUUCCCUCUCCUCUUAAAUAGAGCUCUGCUGCGGUUGAUUAGAGGAUCUGCAGCUGCCGCUGAUCGGUAAUGCCCCGCAGCUGGUGAGUGCCCUCUCCUGGAAUGACAGUCUUACAAAGAUGUUGUGGAGAAGAGGGAGUACUCACCCCGUCACACAACAAGGAGCAGCACCUCUGGGCGUCUGUGCCAUUUAAAGCCUUUGUACUAUCGCUUUCAUCCAUUUUGCUGUGUUUUGUAGUGGAGCUAAACACUUCCUGCCCCCCAUUUGAGUGUAAUGUGAAGUGAUGUCACAGACUGAGCGGAGCUGACCAUAGAGUAAAAAGACCCAAUGAUUAGUGGUUUUCGGUCUGACUCAUCUGUACUUGAAGCCUCUGUGGGAGCCUAAAGUCUGUCUUUGUACAGGUUUAGCAGCUGAAGAGCCCUGGUACACACUCGACCCCCUGGUGAUAGUAGCCAUUUGCCUGGGAAUACCCAUGAUCCUCCUUGCUGUGCUGUUGAUGGUGCGCCAUCAGAGGUUGACUAGUAUCCUGUUUCCUCCAAUCCCUCGUCCUCCACCGCAGUACAAAUAUUUUCUAGAGAAAGGCGACCCUGUCUGUUUCUACCCUUCUGUGCCAGAAAAACACGAGGAAGAGAUCACUGAGGUGGAGGAUGCAGAGCAAAACCCUGAAAGCAACACAGAAUAAAGACGUGCAUGCUCAUUUUUACUCCACAAGUCGGUACACACAGGUUGGACGCAUGCAUUGAGCAUUUACAAAUGUUCUACCAAAAUUCAAAGAGCUUUAGAAAUCUUUUGCAUUAAGACUUUCUGUUGUUUUUAGGAAUAAAGACGUUUUGUCUUACAUUCAUUUAGUUUUUCAUGCAUUUCAUCAAACUGCGACUUUUAUUUACUAUUUUCUGGCAGGAUUUGAACAAGAGGCGUUUGAGACUUACACCAAUUUCUUCACAGUUGUACUGAAAUCUUAAACGUUUCUACAAAAUAAGUUUAUUUUUUACAGUUUAUAAUAAAGUCUGGUUAUGAACUGUGAUCUGCUCAUUUUGGAGUCAUUUUUCUACUUUUACCUGCUGUUUGUAGAGGGUUGGGAAACACUAAAUCAGAUAUUCAUGCACAAGAAAACUUAGUUAGCCUAGUCUAGUCUAGUUAGCCAUCGUCUUCGUCACUGCCGCGGCUCCGCCCUCUCGGUCCUCCAGGCAACGCCUACUAAUGUUGCAGUUUUUAAAAUUGAUACGUGGGUGGAGUAAGACUCUGAGGGGGGCAUUACCACUACUUUAAGGUAAAAAAGACAAGAAGUUUUGACUUUUAAUAGUGGAACUUAAAGAGCAAGUCACCCCCAAAUAAACUUUUUUUUGCUGAUAAACUAAAUAAACGAGUGUCUAAUCGUGCUGCAGACACGUGUCGUCAAUAAUUUGGCACUUCAGUGCAUCUUAGUUAAAAUUUAAAUAUUCUGCCUAAAACUGUCAGUGUUGUGCCGUUGUCAGGUAAAAACUCUGCACUGUAUUCUAAUUUAAAUCUGCCACCACUAUUGGCUAAGAGGUAUGCUAUGAUGUAAACUGGUACAUUAUGAUGUCACAAUGCUGUCGUGAGCCUGUGUGUGUGUAUUUGUUAGCAGCUCCGCCCCCUCGGUCUGCCAGGCAACAGCAUUUGUUGCAUUUUUCAAACAUGAAGUGGGAGUGGAGUUAGA
Long non-coding RNA from Nothobranchius furzeri (turquoise killifish), 1937 nucleotides. The record is from Ensembl. Lineage: Eukaryota; Metazoa; Chordata; Actinopteri; Cyprinodontiformes; Nothobranchiidae.